GAUGAAGAACGUAGCGAAAUGCGAUAAGUAAUGUGAAUUGCAGAAUUCAGUGAAUCAUCGAAUCUUUGAACGCACCUUGCGCCCUUUGGCCAUUCCGAAGGGCAUGCCUGUUUGAGUAUCAUGAACACCUCAACUCUUUAUGGUUUUCCAUGAUGAGCUUGGACUCUGGGGGUUUUGCUGGCUCACAGUCGGCUCCUCUAAAAUGAAUCAGCUUACCAGUGUUUGGUGGGUAUCAUGGGUGUGAUAACUAUCUACGCUUGUGGUUUUUCCACCAGGUAACCUUCAGCAGUGGAGGUUCGCUGGAGCUCAUAGAUGUCUCUCCUCAGUGAGGACAGCCCUUUGAAUGUUUGAUCUCAAAUCAGGUUGGACUACCCGCUGAACUUAAGCAUAUCAAUAAGCGGAGGA
RNAcentral lists this unclassified non-coding RNA (405 nucleotides) under soil metagenome. RNAcentral's name for it is "partial contains 5.8S ribosomal RNA, internal transcribed spacer 2, and large subunit ribosomal RNA". The stretch from base 1 to 121 matches the Rfam family "5.8S ribosomal RNA", at positions 35 to 154 of the family's 154-position model. The record is from RNAcentral.